CAAAUGCCCAUUUGAGAUGCUCAGUCCUCCAUCUGAAUGCAUCUAGCUUUUCUUUACGACAAGGCAGAGUUACAUUCUACCUGGCAAGUGCAGAAAGAGCAGGAGAAAGUCAAGAUGAAUGAAGGUGAUGAGAAUGAAACUAAGAGAAGUACUAGAGUGACUGUAUUCCAGAGAGCGAUGGACUUGUUUUCUUGGUUUAAUUCCAUUAUCUUAUACAAAGAGAGAAGGAGGCAACUUCAUAAAAGCACCUUGUUGCAUGUUGCAAUAUGGAAAGACAUGCAAAUGUAAUCAGAUAAUU
Non-coding RNA from Python bivittatus (Burmese python), 298 nucleotides. Lineage: Eukaryota; Metazoa; Chordata; Lepidosauria; Squamata; Pythonidae. The record is from RefSeq and is a predicted model, not a curated record.